UUGGAAAUAAGCAGACCAUCGAUAAGUUUUUUCAUGCCUCGACUCUCCCUCGGUUCGUUCGGAAAUCAUGGUAGUCUUUUCAUGGAGAUUAUUGGGAACGGAAAUGUGCCUGGGGUUAAGAACAACGACAAAACAGCCUUCUGUCUGUUGCCAUGGAAUGUAUAGGUAGGGAUUGUUUUAUGCUUGGAAAGCCCGUUCCGCGCUCUCUAUCCCCUUUUUUGGGAGGGUUAAGAACAACGACAAAACUGCCUUCUGUCUGUUGCCAUGAAAUGUAUAGGUAGGGAUUGUUUUAUACUUGGAAAGCCCGUUCCGCGCUCUCUAUCCCCUUUUUGGGGGGUCCGCAUAAACCGCUUUUUAGUAUUCGUGUUCGCCUUCUUUCUUCCUUCCCUUCCACACGGAAGGAUCAUGGGGUUCUCCCAACAUACAUAUCCGGGGGUGCAACUGUUUAGUAGGCAAGGAUCGGAA
Molecule: long non-coding RNA, 465 nt
Filed under: Nicotiana benthamiana
Lineage: Eukaryota; Viridiplantae; Streptophyta; Magnoliopsida; Solanales; Solanaceae
Description: long non-coding RNA (NBEN_LNC019600)
Source: RNAcentral